This 77-nucleotide transfer RNA is filed under the name Yarrowia lipolytica. Its description in RNAcentral is "tRNA-Val". The record is from RNAcentral. Lineage: Eukaryota; Fungi; Ascomycota; Dipodascomycetes; Dipodascales.
GGUUUUUUGGUCUAGUUGGGUCAUGGGCAUCUGCUUAACACGCAGAAACGGUCGGCAGUUGAUCCUGCCAGAAAUCA